Phoenix dactylifera (date palm) is the source of this 215-nucleotide non-coding RNA. NCBI's taxonomy places the organism in Eukaryota, Viridiplantae, Streptophyta, Magnoliopsida, Arecales, Arecaceae. The record is from RefSeq and is a predicted model, not a curated record.
UGUGUUUCUUUGUCCGAACUUGAAAUCACAGUUCGCUUCAGAUCAGAUGUCUCCAAUUGUGCCUCUGAGGAUUCUCAUUCCUACCAAUUAUCCAAAAUCAUCCCCCAUACUUCUAGACAUGUUACCAAGUGAACUGAGCAAGGAGUUCGGAGAUCUUUCUGUCAAGGCAUGGUCAAGGUUCAGAAUGUCCCUCCGUGACCUUCCACAGCCCCUUU